This 381-nucleotide unclassified non-coding RNA is filed under the name soil metagenome. RNAcentral describes it as "partial contains 5.8S ribosomal RNA, internal transcribed spacer 2, and large subunit ribosomal RNA". The stretch from base 1 to 120 matches the Rfam family "5.8S ribosomal RNA", at positions 35 to 154 of the family's 154-position model. The record is from RNAcentral.
GAUGAAGAACGCAGUGAAAUGCGAUAAGUAAUGUGAAUUGCAGAAUUCAGUGAAUCAUCGAAUCUUUGAACGCACCUUGCACCCUUUGGCAUUCCGAAGGGUAUGCUCGUUUGAGUGUCAUUGUACUCUCACACUCCCACUCUUUUGGAUUGGGAGCGGUGGACUUGGGUGUUGCUGCUUCACUGUGGCUCGCCUCAAAUGGAGUAGUGCAACUCUCGGUUGGACAUAGUACGGCGUGAUAAGUGUCUUCGCCGGCGCCUCACUAGAGGGUGGCCGAUCGGGAGCUCUGUGCUUCAAACCGUCUUCGGACAAUCUCUGACAACUUGACCUCAAAUCGAGUAGGACUACCCGCUGAACUUAAGCAUAUCAAUAAGCGGAGGA